AAACGACAUCGAAAGCUUGCUUUUGAUGGGCGUCGACCGGCGCACGGGUGAGUAACGCGUAUCCAAUCUGCCCACCACUUGGGGAUAACCUUGCGAAAGUAAGACUAAUACCCAAUGAUAUCCCACGAAGGCAUCCGAAUGGGAUUAAAGAUUUAUCGGUGAUGGAUGGGGAUGCGUCUGAUUAGCUUGUUGGCGGGGUAACGGCCCACCAAGCCCACGAUAUCUAGGGGUUCUGAGAGGAAGGUCCCCACAAUGGAACUGAGACACGGUCCAUACUCC
Molecule: ribosomal RNA, 279 nt
Filed under: uncultured Bacteroidales bacterium
Lineage: Bacteria; Pseudomonadati; Bacteroidota; Bacteroidia; Bacteroidales
Description: partial 16S ribosomal RNA
Rfam family: Bacterial small subunit ribosomal RNA
Source: RNAcentral